UGCUUCGGCAGCCCGCCAGAGGACCCAAACCCUUGAUUUUAUACAGUAUCUUCUGAGUAAAUGAUUAAAUAAAUCAAAACUUUCAACAACGGAUCUCUUGGUUCUGGCAUCGAUGAAGAACGCAGCGAAAUGCGAUAAGUAAUGUGAAUUGCAGAAUUCAGUGAAUCAUCGAAUCUUUGAACGCACAUUGCGCCCGCCAGUAUUCUGGCGGGCAUGCCUGUUCGAGCGUCAUUUCAACCCUCAAGCCCCCGGGCUUGGUGUUGGAGAUCGGCGUGCCCCCCGGGGCGCGCCGCCUCCCAAAUAUAGUGGCGGUCUCGCUGUAGCUUCCUCUGCGUAGUAGCACACCUCGCACUGGAAAACAGCGUGGCCACGCCGUUAAACCCCCCACUUCUGAAAGGUUGACCUCGGAUCAGGUAGGAAUACCCGCUGAACUUAAGCAUAUCAAUAAGCGGAGGAAAAGAAACCAACAGGGAUUGCCCUAGUAACGGCGAGUGAAGCGGCAACAGCUCAAAUUUGAAAUCUGGCCCUCGGGUCCGAAUUGUAAUUUGUAGAGGAUGCUUUUGGUGAGGUACCUUCCGAGUUCCCUGGAACGGGACGCCAUAGAGGGUGAGAGCCCCGUCUGGUCGGAUACCGAUCCUCUGUAAAGCUCCUUCGACGAGUCGAGUAGUUUGGGAAUGCUGCUCUA
RNAcentral lists this ribosomal RNA (685 nucleotides) under uncultured fungus. Its description in RNAcentral is "eukaryotic LSU rRNA". The stretch from base 400 to 685 matches the Rfam family "Eukaryotic large subunit ribosomal RNA", at positions 1 to 290 of the family's 3401-position model. Lineage: Eukaryota; Fungi. The record is from RNAcentral.